RNAcentral lists this ribosomal RNA (497 nucleotides) under uncultured bacterium. RNAcentral's name for it is "partial 16S ribosomal RNA". It matches the Rfam family "Bacterial small subunit ribosomal RNA", at positions 28 to 507 of the family's 1533-position model. The record is from RNAcentral.
GAUGAACGCUGGCGGCGUGCCUAAUACAUGCAAGUCGAGCGAACAGACGAGGAGCUUGCUCCUCUGACGUUAGCGGCGGACGGGUGAGUAACACGUGGAUAACCUACCUAUAAGACUGGGAUAACUUCGGGAAACCGGAGCUAAUACCGGAUAAUAUAUUGAACCGCAUGGUUCAAUAGUGAAAGACGGUUUUGCUGUCACUUAUAGAUGGAUCCGCGCCGCAUUAGCUAGUUGGUAAGGUAACGGCUUACCAAGGCAACGAUGCGUAGCCGACCUGAGAGGGUGAUCGGCCACACUGGAACUGAGACACGGUCCAGACUCCUACGGGAGGCAGCAGUAGGGAAUCUUCCGCAAUGGGCGAAAGCCUGACGGAGCAACGCCGCGUGAGUGAUGAAGGUCUUCGGAUCGUAAAACUCUGUUAUUAGGGAAGAACAAAUGUGUAAGUAAAUAUGCACGUCUUGACGGUACCUAAUCAGAAAGCAACGGCUAACUACGUG